RNAcentral lists this ribosomal RNA (678 nucleotides) under Triticum aestivum (bread wheat). Its description in RNAcentral is "partial small subunit ribosomal RNA". The record is from RNAcentral. Lineage: Eukaryota; Viridiplantae; Streptophyta; Magnoliopsida; Poales; Poaceae.
AUGCCCUACAUACCAGCAGACGUCACAAACCUAAAGGCAAAGUACCAUAGAGAGAGUAGGUUGGCUGACAUAGAAGACACAAUAGCCUACUUCGAAGAGAAAGCAAAAGCAGAUACUGAUUUCUUCUACAGGAUAAGAUUGGACGAUGAGGACCGUGUUAGAAACAUGUAUUGGGUGGAUGGUGCUGCAAGAAGAUCCUAAAAACAUUUCCGUGAUUGCAUUUCGUUCGACACAACAUAUCUCACGAAUAUGUACAAGAUGCCAUGAACUCCAUUCAUAGGAAUAAAUAACCACAAUCAGUCAUUGCAGUUCGGUUGCGGACUCGUUCAAAACGAAGAUACAGAUGGUUACACUUGGCUGUUCAAAAUCUUCUUGGAGUGCAUGGGUGGACUUGCUCUAAUGAACAUAAUAACAUACCAGGAUUUUAGCAUGCGUGCAGGCAUAGAGGAGGUCUUUCCGUUGGCAGUGCACAGGCACUGCAGGUGGCAUAUUAUUAAGAAGGCUGACCGUCCAGAACUACACAAGGCAUUCGAGUUGUGCAUGGACCACAGCUUGACGGUGGAGGAGUUUGAACGGAGCUGGAUGACUAUGAUUGAAACAUACCAAGUCCAAGACAACGAGACACUUAAUAGCCUGUGGGAGAAGCGAAUGUACUGGGUGCCGGCCUACUUCAUGUAG